RNAcentral lists this transfer-messenger RNA (341 nucleotides) under Rhodospirillaceae bacterium. It matches the Rfam family "Alphaproteobacteria transfer-messenger RNA". From Rfam's summary of the family: Bacterial tmRNA, also known as 10Sa RNA or SsrA, is named for its dual tRNA and mRNA-like properties. Its role is to liberate the mRNA from a stalled ribosome. The record is from RNAcentral. Lineage: Bacteria; Pseudomonadati; Pseudomonadota; Alphaproteobacteria; Rhodospirillales; Rhodospirillaceae.
CCCCUUCCAAUGAUCAGUCUAUGGGACUAUAUUUAAAGGGUCGGUUUACCGACUAUGGCGAUAAACGCUUUGUGGAAUAAGCGUUGCGGACCCGGGGGCAGUGCCCGGCGCCUCCACCAUAAUUAAUUGGAAAUCCUAGAUAAUUUGGAUUUUUGGAUAGGUUUAUGGGGGCGAAACAGGAUCGACGUGCGUAGUAAAGACAUGGUUUUCGCUCGGCAUGGCACCACCGUUAUCGGGCUAAACUUUACAAAUGCUAACGAUAAUGAAGCAUUUGCGGUAGCCGCUUAACAGCUAAGCUACUACGGGGUUCGGAGGGCACCUGGCAACAGAAGCCCUCCACU